UAGGGUAUAGCGAAAUGGUAUCGUGUUUGUCUUGGGCAUAAAAGAUUACAGGUUCGAAUCCUGUUACCCUAA
Molecule: transfer RNA, 72 nt
Filed under: Porolithon onkodes
Lineage: Eukaryota; Rhodophyta; Florideophyceae; Corallinales; Porolithaceae
Description: tRNA-Pro
Rfam family: tRNA
About the family: Transfer RNA (tRNA) molecules are approximately 80 nucleotides in length. Their secondary structure includes four short double-helical elements and three loops (D, anti-codon, and T loops).
Source: RNAcentral